RNAcentral lists this long non-coding RNA (705 nucleotides) under Mus pahari (shrew mouse). RNAcentral describes it as "predicted gene 17096 (MGP_PahariEiJ_G0003408.1)". The record is from RNAcentral. Lineage: Eukaryota; Metazoa; Chordata; Mammalia; Rodentia; Muridae.
CUUUUUUUUCUCUUUUUAAGAUUUAUUUUAUAUGAGUAUGCUAUAGAAGAAGGCAUCAGGUCCCAUUACAGAUGGUUGAGCCACUACUUGGUUGCUGGGAUUUGAACACCAGAGCAGUCAGUGCUCUUCCCAGCCCUGACUGUCUUGUAGUACAGGCUAGACUUGAACUCUACCUGUCUCUGCCUCCCAAGUACUGGUUUUAUAGACAUGCACCACCACUGCACAGCCUUUAUUCUUAUUUUGAAGAGGAUAUAUCUCUCAUAGAGAUUACAGAUACAUUUCCAUACAUCCAUCUCCUCCGAGAGCCUCUGAGUCUAAUAAAGACUUUUGCUAGCCUCUUCCAAGUAAUCCUCUUGGGGCUUUGGGUUUUUGUUUGUUUGUUUUUUGUCUUUUUGUAUGUAUACAUGUUUAUGUUCACAUGGGUAUUAGCAUGGGUUGGUGGGUAGGUGUGCUUGUCACGAGUGGACCUCUGAGGUGUCUUCCUCAGUCACACUUCACUUUCUUGAGGCUUGGUCUCUCACUGAAUCUGGAGCUUGGAGAUACCUUUAUGGAUUCUCGGAAACUGACUCUAGAUGUUAAUCCUGUGUGGCAAGCAUUUUAUUCAGUAAUGCAGAACCCUAACCUUGUAUUUUACUGAGUAGCAUUGGCUGGUCUGGAACUCACAGCAGUCUUCAUGUCUUAACUUCCUCAGAUCUAAGAUUUCAG